Molecule: long non-coding RNA, 342 nt
Organism: Esox lucius (northern pike)
Lineage: Eukaryota; Metazoa; Chordata; Actinopteri; Esociformes; Esocidae
Exons: 3
Source: RefSeq, a predicted model, not a curated record
GCUCAUAUCCAAUGCUGUCAUAGUGUCUACUGGCAACCCCAACUCAACAAACCUGAACCAACCGGUCAACCUCACCUUCCGUCACCUGGAGUUGGCUGACAAGGACCCCAACUGUGUUUAUUGGUCAGAAGAGAAUGGGACGUGGUCUAGGCAGGGCUGCAACUUGGUGAUAACAAAUGCCACCCACACUUUAUGCUCCUAUAACCAUCUCAGCACUUUCUCUUUGCUACAAGGACUACAACAGGAAAAGCUUUCCAGAGUAAUGUGGACGGGCAUUCUCGUGGCACUGGCCUGUGUGGUCCUAUCCCUGACCACGGCCCUGCUGUGUCGUUUUGCCAGCAG